CCAAUCUCGGCGGGAUCGACAUUUCGCCGAUCAUCCUUCUGCUGAUUAUCUUCUUCAUCCGCCAGUUCAUGUGGACGACGCUGCUGCCGAUCCUGCUUUAAAGUGCAUCCCGAAAAGCGUGAAACGGUUUUCGGAUAAGAUGCGCGUCAGAAUAAAUAGUUAGAGCAUCGGUCUGAUUCAUU
This 182-nucleotide unclassified non-coding RNA is filed under the name Brucella sp. 191011898. RNAcentral describes it as "BASRCI408". Lineage: Bacteria; Pseudomonadati; Pseudomonadota; Alphaproteobacteria; Hyphomicrobiales; Brucellaceae. The record is from RNAcentral.